Molecule: ribosomal RNA, 503 nt
Filed under: uncultured bacterium
Lineage: Bacteria
Description: bacterial SSU rRNA
Rfam family: Bacterial small subunit ribosomal RNA
Source: RNAcentral
UCAGGAUGAACGCUAGCUACAGGCUUAACACAUGCAAGUCAGGGCAGCAUGAACUUAGCUUGCAAGUUUGAUGGCGACCGGCGCACGGGUGAGUAACGCGUAUCCAACCUACCCCUUACGUAGGGCAUAGCUCGUAGAAAUGCGGAGUUAAUACCCUAUGUUUUCCGGAGACGGCAUCAGAACUGGAACAAAGAUUGAUCGCUAAGGGAUGGGGAUGCGUACGAUUAGGUUGUUGGCGGGGUAACGGCCCACCAAGCCUGCGAUCGUUAGGGUUCUGAGAGGAAGGUCCCCCACACUGGUACUGAGACACGGACCAGACUCCUACGGGAGGCAGCAGUGAGGAAUAUUGGUCAAUGGGCGUGAGCCUGAACCAGCCAAGUAGCGUGCAGGACGACGGCCCUACGGGUUGUAAACUGCUUUUAUCAGGGGAUAAAGUGCGGGACGUGUCCCUCAUUGCAGGUACCUGAUGAAUAAGGACCGGCUAAUUCCGUGCCAGCCGCCGC